AGUGAACGCUGGCGGUAGGCCUAACACAUGCAAGUCGAACGGCAGCACAGAGGAGCUUGCUCCUUGGGUGGCGAGUGGCGGACGGGUGAGGAAUACAUCGGAAUCUACUCUGUCGUGGGGGAUAACGUAGGGAAACUUACGCUAAUACCGCAUACGACCUACGGGUGAAAGCAGGGGAUCUUCGGACCUUGCGCGAUUGAAUGAGCCGAUGUCGGAUUAGCUAGUUGGCGGGGUAAAGGCCCACCAAGGCGACGAUCCGUAGCUGGUCUGAGAGGAUGAUCAGCCACACUGGAACUGAGACACGGUCCAGACUCCUACGGGAGGCAGCAGUGGGGAAUAUUGGACAAUGGGCGCAAGCCUGAUCCAGCCAUACCGCGUGGGUGAAGAAGGCCUUCGGGUUGUAAAGCCCUUUUGUUGGGAAAGAAAUCCAGCCGGCUAAUACCUGGUUGGGAUGACGGUACCCAAAGAAUAAGCACCGGCUAACUUCGUGCCAGCAGCCGCGGUAAUACGAAGGGUGCAAGCGUUACUCGGAAUUACUGGGCGUAAAGCGUGCGUAGGUGGUUAUUUAAGUCCGUUGUGAAAGCCCUGGGCUCAACCUGGGAACUGCAGUGGAUACUGGAUGACUAGAAUGUGGUAGAGGGUAGCGGAAUUCCUGGUGUAGCAGUGAAAUGCGUAGAGAUCAGGAGGAACAUCUAUGGCGAAGGCAGCUACCUGGACCAACAUUGACACUGAGGCACGAAAGCGUGGGGAGCAAACAGG
RNAcentral lists this ribosomal RNA (759 nucleotides) under uncultured Stenotrophomonas sp. Its description in RNAcentral is "bacterial SSU rRNA". It matches the Rfam family "Bacterial small subunit ribosomal RNA", at positions 28 to 776 of the family's 1533-position model. The record is from RNAcentral. Lineage: Bacteria; Pseudomonadati; Pseudomonadota; Gammaproteobacteria; Lysobacterales; Lysobacteraceae.